UGGUUACAGUAUAUCCUGUCUGAACUUCUGAUAAAGCACUAACUAAUUUGACUAUAACGUGUUUUUUUUUUGUUUGUUUGUUUUUUUUUUUUUGUUUUUUUUUGUUUUUUUAAGGAUUUGAAAUAAUAGAGAUCUUCUGAAAAGCUUCUUUGUUGCUACACCAAGACUACAGACAGAAAAACAAGCCCUGCCUUACUUGGGAGUCAGUGGCAAAGCAUCAGAUGUCUGAGUCUAUCCUAAACAAAGAUUUCUUCCUACAAAGAUCAAAAGGAUGUAUUUCAGAAGUGAAAGAAUGUGGGAAGAAUUAUCAACAUAAUGAGAGGGUCUCCAAGUAGAAGACAAAGAUUAUUUGAAAGACCUGGUUCUGACAAAUCAGAGGACCUUUUCUCUCCUUGAAUUUGAGAGUCUAGUAGAAGAUGCUUUUGAAUGCUUAAUAACUAUUUGGAUAGAUGCCCCUUCUCCCUGGAAAAAUAAAUGAGAUCCUCCUAAAAAGGAAACUGAAAUU
Molecule: long non-coding RNA, 505 nt
Filed under: Phasianus colchicus (ring-necked pheasant)
Lineage: Eukaryota; Metazoa; Chordata; Aves; Galliformes; Phasianidae
Description: lncRNA (ENSPCLG00000004902.1)
Source: RNAcentral